Ornithorhynchus anatinus (platypus) is the source of this 611-nucleotide long non-coding RNA. RefSeq lists it as uncharacterized. The record is from RefSeq and is a predicted model, not a curated record. The transcript is spliced from 3 exons. NCBI's taxonomy places the organism in Eukaryota, Metazoa, Chordata, Mammalia, Monotremata, Ornithorhynchidae.
GAGUCUGUCAAAUCAGUGGAAAUAUCGACUGAGAAAAGAUUGCAGCAUUGGACUUUUAUUCAAGUUUGUGCCAAGCACAUAUAUAUGAUGUUUCUUCCAGGAAAAUAUUGAAUUGAUUCCCGAGUCUAAAAAAGCUAAACCAUGGGUACUGGCUAGGAAUUCUGGGAGAAAUUUGACCAGAUAAAGCCCGCAUAGAGCCUGUGACAUAAUGUUCGUCUGAAGGUCUACUAUCCACCGUCAUCGUGAAUGACCACUCUAGCAUGAGACCUCAACCGUGACUGGGAGAGAUUCUUUUCUUCCGAUGAGUCAAACCGGAAGGGCACGUGUCCAGGAGCUCUGUGAGAAACUCCAGGCCCACAACCGCCCAAAGUCUGGGAGCCGGCCAAAAAAGCAAUCAAGUGCUGGGGAAGAUGAAGAGGUGAUGCUCUGAGCUGAACUCCAGAGACCUUGGAAGUUUAUCAUCACGAAGAGGCAAAGUGCAUUGUUUUUAAUAAGGACCAGUGCAAACCCUAGCUGUGAUCAGAAUCAUUAGACUUUCUGGAGACAAAGUGGGUGUCUCCCCCGUGCUGAGAUGUGAUUUUCAGGUGCAAAUACAUACUCCAUCAGCCCUG